CCUACGGGAGACAGCAGUGAGGAAUAUUGGUCAAUGGACGAGAGUCUGAACCAGCCAAGUAGCGUGAAGGAUGACUGCCCUAUGGGUUGUAAACUUCUUUUAUAUGGGAAUAAAAUGUUCCACGUGUGGGAUUUUGUAUGUACCAUAUGAAUAAGGAUCGGCUAACUCCGUGCCAGCAGCCGCGGUAAUACGGAGGAACCGAGCGUUAUCCGGAUGUAUUGGGUUUAAAGGGAGCGUAGGUGGAUUGUUAAGUCAGUUGUGAAAGUUUGCGGCUCAACCGUAAAAUUGCAGUUGAAACUGGCAGUCUUGAGUACAGUAGAGGUGGGCGGAAUUCGUGGUGUAGCGGUGAAAUGCUUAGAUAUCACGAAGAACGCCGAUUGCGAAGGCAGCUCACUGGACUGCAACUGACACUGAGGCUCGAAAGUGUGGGUAUCAAACAGGAUUAGAUACCCGGGUAGUC
Molecule: ribosomal RNA, 460 nt
Filed under: uncultured bacterium
Lineage: Bacteria
Description: partial 16S ribosomal RNA
Rfam family: Bacterial small subunit ribosomal RNA
Source: RNAcentral